Molecule: ribosomal RNA, 301 nt
Filed under: uncultured bacterium
Lineage: Bacteria
Description: partial 16S ribosomal RNA
Rfam family: Bacterial small subunit ribosomal RNA
Source: RNAcentral
CAGUCGCCACGGUAAUACGUAGGUGGCAAGCGUUGUCCGGAUUUAUUGGGCGUAAAGCGAGCGCAGGCGGUUUCUUAAGUCUGAUGUGAAAGCCCCCGGCUCAACCGGGGAGGGUCAUUGGAAACUGGGAGACUUGAGUGCAGAAGAGGAGAGUGGAAUUCCAUGUGUAGCGGUGAAAUGCGUAGAUAUAUGGAGGAACACCAGUGGCGAAGGCGGCUCUCUGGUCUGUAACUGACGCUGAGGCUCGAAAGCGUGGGGAGCGAACAGGAUUAGAUACCCCUGUAGUCCCUGUCUCUUAUAC